RNAcentral lists this ribosomal RNA (412 nucleotides) under uncultured bacterium. RNAcentral describes it as "bacterial SSU rRNA". It matches the Rfam family "Bacterial small subunit ribosomal RNA", at positions 29 to 479 of the family's 1533-position model. The record is from RNAcentral.
AACGAACGCUGGCGGCAGGCUUAACACAUGCAAGUCGAACGCUCGUAGCAAUACGGGAGUGGCGGACGGGUGAGUAACGCGUGGGAACGUGCCCUGAGGUACGGAAUAACUGCGGGAAACUGCAGCUAAUACCGUAUGAGCCCCGCAAAGGGGGGAAAAGAUUUAUCGCCUUGGGAGCGGCCCGCGUCGGAUUAGCUAGUUGGUGGGGUAACGGCCUACCAAGGCUUCGAUCCGUAGCUGGUCUGAGAGGACGAUCAGCCACACUGGGACUGAGACACGGCCCAGACUCCUACGGGAGGCAGCAGUGGGGAAUCUUGCGCAAUGGGGGCAACCCUGACGCAGCCAUGCCGCGUGAAUGAUGAAGGCCUUAGGGUUGUAAAGUUCUUUUGCCCGUGACGAUGAUGACGGUAAC